This 488-nucleotide ribosomal RNA is filed under the name Streptococcus mutans. Its description in RNAcentral is "bacterial SSU rRNA". It matches the Rfam family "Bacterial small subunit ribosomal RNA", at positions 28 to 491 of the family's 1533-position model. Lineage: Bacteria; Bacillati; Bacillota; Bacilli; Lactobacillales; Streptococcaceae. The record is from RNAcentral.
GACGAACGCUGCCGGCGUGCCUAAUACAUGCAAGUGGACGCAAGGGAACACACUGUGCUUGCACACCGUGUUUUCUUGAGUCGCGAACGGGUGAGUAACGCGUAGGUAACCUGCCUAUUAGCGGGGGAUAACUAUUGGAAACGAUAGCUAAUACCGCAUAAUAUUAAUUAUUGCAUGAUAAUUGAUUGAAAGAUGCAAGCGCAUCACUGGUAGAUGGACCUGCGUUGUAUUAGCUAGUUGGUAAGGUAAGAGCUUACCAAGGCGACGAUACAUAGCCGACCUGAGAGGGUGAUCGGCCACACUGGGACUGAGACACGGCCCAGACUCCUACGGGAGGCAGCAGUAGGGAAUCUUCGGCAAUGGACGAAAGUCUGACCGAGCAACGCCGCGUGAGUGAAGAAGGUUUUCGGAUCGUAAAGCUCUGUUGUAAGUCAAGAACGUGUGUGAGAGUGGAAAGUUCACACAGUGACGGUAGCUUACCAGAAAGG